GCCAAAUGAUGAUAGUCUACAAACUGAGCAGUCAGUAGUUGGUCCUUUGAUUGCAUAUGAUAUAAUAAUUGUUUCAAGACGGGACUGAUGGCAGC
This is a small nucleolar RNA of Cavia aperea (Brazilian guinea pig), 95 nucleotides long. Its record names the gene SNORD21. It matches the Rfam family "Small nucleolar RNA SNORD21". Rfam says of the family: U21 is a member of the C/D class of snoRNA which contain the C (UGAUGA) and D (CUGA) box motifs. The record is from Ensembl. Lineage: Eukaryota; Metazoa; Chordata; Mammalia; Rodentia; Caviidae.